This is a long non-coding RNA of Thalassophryne amazonica, 744 nucleotides long. RefSeq lists it as uncharacterized. The record is from RefSeq and is a predicted model, not a curated record. NCBI's taxonomy places the organism in Eukaryota, Metazoa, Chordata, Actinopteri, Batrachoidiformes, Batrachoididae. The transcript is spliced from 2 exons.
AAAGGUCAGGAGGUGGAGCUCUGUAUAAUUUACCUGGAAGCUUCUCCUUCUCUUUGUCCGCAGCUCCACAGACGUCAAAUUGAUUUCAACCGUGUGAGAACAGAAAAAAACAGAUGCAGCCAGACGAUGCGAUAAGACAAGCAAGCUCCUCCCCCUUUAACCCUCCCCCUCCCACUCCUACUUUUGGCCAUAACGUCUCCUCGAGCCGAUGAUGCCGUCAGGAGCCUCACCUCUACCCCCCGCCCCAUCCCAUCCCCCCCCCCCUCACCCCUUUAACCAGAACCAGAACACGACGGACUCAGAAGUUCCUCUGAAGAAAAUGUCUCUUUCUGCUUGUCUUUGAUGCAUGUUCAUUUCUUUUCGACCAGGAUCUUAUUUCCUGCAGGUGGACCUGAUUUGAACCAGGCUGUAAAUGUUGAUCCCACGGAGGAUUUUAGUAUUGUAAAAACAAAGAAACAGAUGACACUUCUACUGGUUCUUUCAGUGUAACUUUAUCUUUUCAUGCUGUGAGGUUUUGAUAAUUCCUCUGAGGUUUAGAGGUCACGUAUCACGAUAGUGAGCCGCUAAUGUAAAUGUUUGAAAUUAUACCGGGAAUGUUUAUUGUAGAUUAACCUGAUUCACUUUAUAACAGAUGCACCUUAUCAGCGUAAAAACCCUUUAAAUUAAGGACGCUAUCGUGUUUGAGGGUCAUGAAAAGGCUGAUUGGGGUCAACUAAAUCCUGCAACCUUCUCACAUUAACCUCC